GUUCGGGUUGUCAUGCCAAUGGCACUGCCCGGUAGCUACGUUCGGAACUGAUAAGCGCUGAAAGCAUCUAAGCGCGAAGCAGGCCUCGAGAUGAGUUCUCACUAGACUUUUAAAGUCUCUGAAGGGCCGUUGAAGACUACAACGUUGAUAGGCAGGAUGUGGAAGUGGUGUGAGCCAUUAAGCUAACCUGUACUAAUUACCCGUGAGGCUUAACCAUACAACGCCAAACGCGUUU
This 235-nucleotide ribosomal RNA is filed under the name Pseudoalteromonas shioyasakiensis. RNAcentral's name for it is "partial 23S ribosomal RNA". It matches the Rfam family "Bacterial large subunit ribosomal RNA", at positions 2714 to 2925 of the family's 2925-position model. Lineage: Bacteria; Pseudomonadati; Pseudomonadota; Gammaproteobacteria; Alteromonadales; Pseudoalteromonadaceae. The record is from RNAcentral.